GACGAACGCUGGCGGCGUGCUUAACACAUGCAAGUCGAACGGAAAGGCCCUGCUUUUGUGGGGUGCUCGAGUGGCGAACGGGUGAGUAACACGUGAGUAACCUGCCCUUGACUUUGGGAUAACUUCAGGAAACUGGGGCUAAUACCGGAUAGGAGCUCCUGCUGCAUGGUGGGGGUUGGAAAGUUUCGGCGGUUGGGGAUGGACUCGCGGCUUAUCAGCUUGUUGGUGGGGUAGUGGUUUACCAAGGCUUUGACGGGUCGCCGGCACGAGAGGGUGACCGGGCACAUUGGGACUGAGGGACGGAGCAGUGGGGUACGGGGGACAGCAGUGGGGAAUAUUGUACAGUGGGCGGAAGCCUGUUGAAGAGACGCCGGGUGCGGGAAGACGGCUUGUGGGGUGAGAACAGCUGUCGCCUGUGACGAAGCGGGAGUGACGGUAAUGGGUAAAGAAGCACCGGCUAACUACGUG
This 468-nucleotide ribosomal RNA is filed under the name uncultured bacterium. Its description in RNAcentral is "partial 16S ribosomal RNA". It matches the Rfam family "Bacterial small subunit ribosomal RNA", at positions 28 to 507 of the family's 1533-position model. The record is from RNAcentral.